GUCUGUUUAGCUCAGUGGGAGAGCGACGGUCUGAAGCUUGGAAUUCGACUCAGAAUUCUUGGCAUACCGCAGGUCCUGUGUUCAAUCCACAGAACGGACA
Molecule: non-coding RNA, 100 nt
Organism: Naganishia cerealis
Lineage: Eukaryota; Fungi; Basidiomycota; Tremellomycetes; Filobasidiales; Filobasidiaceae
Source: the annotation of a GenBank genome assembly